AUUUAUGUAGUUUAGAAAAACAUUACACUUUCACUGUAAAGACAAAGAAAAACUUUCAUAAAUG
RNAcentral lists this transfer RNA (64 nucleotides) under Odontotermes nr. pauperans RDCT160. Its description in RNAcentral is "tRNA-Glu". It matches the Rfam family "tRNA". Rfam says of the family: Transfer RNA (tRNA) molecules are approximately 80 nucleotides in length. Lineage: Eukaryota; Metazoa; Arthropoda; Insecta; Blattodea; Termitidae. The record is from RNAcentral.